RNAcentral lists this ribosomal RNA (253 nucleotides) under uncultured bacterium. Its description in RNAcentral is "partial 16S ribosomal RNA". It matches the Rfam family "Bacterial small subunit ribosomal RNA", at positions 524 to 776 of the family's 1533-position model. The record is from RNAcentral.
UACGGAGGGUGCGAGCGUUGUCCGGAAUCACUGGGCGUAAAGGGCGCGUAGGCGGCCUGAUAAGUAGGGGGUGAAAUCCUGCGGCUUAACCGCAGGGCUGCCUUCUAAACUGUCAGGCUCGAGCACAGUAGAGGCAGGUGGAAUUUCCGGUGUAGCGGUGAAAUGCGUAGAGAUCGGAAGGAACACCAGUGGCGAAGGCGGCUACCUGGCCUAAUACUGACACUGAGGCACGAAAGCGUGGGGAGCAAACAGG